This 406-nucleotide ribosomal RNA is filed under the name uncultured bacterium. RNAcentral describes it as "partial 16S ribosomal RNA". It matches the Rfam family "Bacterial small subunit ribosomal RNA", at positions 29 to 526 of the family's 1533-position model. The record is from RNAcentral.
AUUGAACGCUGGCGGCAGGCCUAACACAUGCAAGUCGAGCGAGCGGCGGACGGGUGAGUAAUGUCUGGGAAACUGCCUGAUGGAGGGGGAUAACUACUGGAAACGGUAGCUAAUACCGCAUACAAUCAGAUGUGCCCAGAUGGGAUUAGCUAGUAGGUGGGGUAACGGGUCACCUAGUCGACGAUCCCUAGCUGGUCUGAGAGGAUGACCAGCAAAACUGGAACUGAGACAAGGUCCAUACGCCUACGGGAGGCAGCAGUGGGGAAUAUUGCAUAAAGGGCGGAAGCCGGAUGCAGCCAUGCCGCGUGUGUGAAGAAGGCCUUCGGGUGUGAAAGCACUUUCAGCGGGGAGGCGUUACCCGCAGAAGAAGCACCGGCUAACACCGUGCCAGCAGCCGCGGUAAUAC